Molecule: long non-coding RNA, 1020 nt
Organism: Lagenorhynchus albirostris (white-beaked dolphin)
Lineage: Eukaryota; Metazoa; Chordata; Mammalia; Artiodactyla; Delphinidae
Exons: 4
Source: RefSeq, a predicted model, not a curated record
UCUAUUGAAAUACUGUUUUCAGGGUUUUAAAAUCCUGUUUUUUUCUGGUAGGGGGCACCUGGAGCAAUCCUCGAUAUUUCGAUUGUGCCUUCAGCCUUUUAUAAAAAUGAGCUGCACAGACGUUUCUCGGUGGAGGGGUCAGCUGAAAGGUUCUGAUCAGCUGUGUCUGCCGUACAGAGAUGCAGCGCUCAGCGGGGUCUCCAACCUUCCCUCAGGCAACAAACUAGGGCAGAAGCCAGCUGGCUUGCUCUGAAUACCUCAGUCCCGCCGAUCUCCGGAUCACCAGCUGGUUUUGAUUGUGGCUGGAUCUAAGAAGGCGGUGGGCCACACGUCUGUCCCAUUCACGGCUGAGAUGUCGUCCACGAAACUCGGGAACCCUAACCACACCGUAGACCGGACUGUGAUACCUAAGGGAGAAUCAGCUAGAAAGGCCUUCAUUCCCUAAUCACUAAAACGAUAUCGUCGUGAAGGAGCAGAAAGUUCAUCCUGCCUUUGGGAAAAUCAGUCCGUUCAAGGAUCUCACGGAAAUCUCACGCAUGUAGAAUCUUUUUCUUUUUCUCCUUUUUGGCUGCGCCGCACGGCAUGUGGGAUGUUAGCUCCCCGACCAGGGAUUGAACCGGGGCCCCCAGCACUGGAAGCGCAGAGUCUCAAUCGCUGGACCUCCAGGGAAGUCCCUAGAAUCCUUUUUUUGCUGCUUGGAAAUUGCUUGGGCUGGUUUUCACUAGAACCCACGUGCCGCAAUUUUAUGCUACGAUUUCGUUGGCACUGCUAUCCCCAAGUUGCAAGCAGGUUGGGUCGCAGAAGGCGUUCAAGAUUUGAAAAAGAUGUUCCCCAAAUGUAAUUCUCCAGAUGGAGGUAAGGCUGCCAGGCUGGCCUCACAACUCCUGUUGUCUCAGGAGCCCGGAGCCCGGCCCCCGGGGCAGAGCUUUGAUCUCUGGCCCCUGACCUCAGCUGAGGGUCACUCACGGGUGGGUGGUGGACAUGGCCCAGGCAGGGGGCCGCUUUUUAUUCUGCCCUUCG